CGGGGUGCAGCAGGCGCGAAAACUUUACAAUGCCGGCAACGGCGAUAAGGGAACCUCGAGUGCCAGGUUACAAAUCUGGCUGUCGUGAUGCCUAAAAAGCAUUGCAUAGCAAGGGCCGGGCAAGACCGGUGCCAGCCGCCGCGGUAACACCGGCGGCUCGAGUGGUAACCGUUAUUAUUGGGUCUAAAGGGUCUGUAGCCGGCCGGGUAAGUCUCUUGGGAAAUCUGGCAGCUUAACUGUCAGGCUUUCAGGAGAUACUGCCUGGCUCGAGGCCGGGAGAGGUGAGAGGUACUUCAGGGGUAGGGGUGAAAUCUUGUAAUCCUUGAAGGACCACCAGUGGCGAAGGCGUCUCACCAGAACGGACCUGACGGCAAGGGACGAAAGCUAGGGGCACGAACCGGAUUAGAUACCCGGGUAGUCCUAGCCGUAAACGAUACUCGCUAGGUGUCGGCCACGGUGCGACCGUGGUCGGUGCCGUAGGGAAGCCGUGAAGCGAGCCACCUGGGAAGUACGGCCGCAAGGCUGAAACUUAAAGGAAUUGGCGGGGGAGCACAAGGGCGAAUCGC
RNAcentral lists this ribosomal RNA (566 nucleotides) under uncultured archaeon. RNAcentral describes it as "bacterial SSU rRNA". It matches the Rfam family "Archaeal small subunit ribosomal RNA", at positions 326 to 896 of the family's 1478-position model. The record is from RNAcentral.